CGGGAAAAGCUCAAAUUUAAAAUCUGAUGGUCUUUGGCCGUCCGAGUUGUAAUCUAGAGAAGUGUUAUCCGCGUUGGACCGUGUACAAGUCUCCUGGAAUGGAGCAUCAUAGAGGGUGAGAAUCCCGUCUUUGACACGGACUACCAGUGCUUUGUGAUGCGCUCUCAAA
RNAcentral lists this ribosomal RNA (169 nucleotides) under Conocybe sp. Its description in RNAcentral is "partial large subunit ribosomal RNA". It matches the Rfam family "Eukaryotic large subunit ribosomal RNA", at positions 99 to 261 of the family's 3401-position model. Lineage: Eukaryota; Fungi; Basidiomycota; Agaricomycetes; Agaricales; Bolbitiaceae. The record is from RNAcentral.